RNAcentral lists this ribosomal RNA (614 nucleotides) under uncultured bacterium. Its description in RNAcentral is "bacterial SSU rRNA". It matches the Rfam family "Bacterial small subunit ribosomal RNA", at positions 62 to 720 of the family's 1533-position model. The record is from RNAcentral.
UCGAGCGCUUCACUUCGGUGAGGAGCGGCGGACGGGUUAGUAACGCGUGGGAACAUACCCUUUUCUACGGAAUAGCCUUUGGAAACGAAGAGUAAUACCGCAUACGCCCUUCGGGGGAAAGAUUUAUCGGUGAAGGAUUGGCCCGCGUUAGAUUAGUUAGUUGGUGGGGUAACGGCCUACCAAGACGACGAUCUAUAGCUGGUUUGAGAGGAUGAUCAGCAACACUGGGACUGAGACACGGCCCAGACUCCUACGGGAGGCAGCAGUGGGGAAUCUUAGACAAUGGGCGCAAGCCUGAUCUAGCGAUGCCGCGUGAGUGACGAAGGUCUUAGGAUCGUAAAGCUCUUUCGCCAGGGAUGAUAAUGACAGUACCUGGUAAAGAAACCCCGGCUAACUCCGUGCCAGCAGCCGCGGUAAUACGGAGGGGGUUAGCGUUGUUCGGAAUUACUGGGCGUAAAGCGCACGUAGGCGGAUUAGUAAGUUAGGGGUGAAAUCCCAGGGCUCAACCCUGGAACUGCCUCUAAAACUGCUAGUCUUGAGUUCGAGAGAGGUAAGUGGAAUUCCUAGUGUAGAGGUGAAAUUCGUAGAUAUUAGGAGGAACACCAGUGGCGAAG